RNAcentral lists this ribosomal RNA (464 nucleotides) under uncultured bacterium. RNAcentral describes it as "bacterial SSU rRNA". It matches the Rfam family "Bacterial small subunit ribosomal RNA", at positions 917 to 1382 of the family's 1533-position model. The record is from RNAcentral.
GGGCCCGCACAAGCGGCGGAGCAUGCGGAUUAAUUCGAUGCAACGCGAAGAACCUUACCUGGGUUUGACAUGGCGGCUAAAGCCACAGAGAUGUGGUGUCCUUCGGGGGCCGUCACAGGUGGUGCAUGGCUGUCGUCAGCUCGUGUCGUGAGAUGUUGGGUUAAGUCCCGCAACGAGCGCAACCCUCGUUCCAUGUUGCCAGCGGGUAAUGCCGGGGACUCAUGGGAGACUGCCGGGGUCAACUCGGAGGAAGGUGGGGAUGACGUCAAGUCAUCAUGCCCCUUAUGUCCAGGGCUUCACGCAUGCUACAAUGGCCGGUACAAAGGGCUGCGAUACCGCAAGGUGGAGCGAAUCCCAAAAAGCCGGUCUCAGUUCGGAUCGGGGUCUGCAACUCGACCCCGUGAAGUCGGAGUCGCUAGUAAUCGCAGAUCAGCAAUGCUGCGGUGAAUACGUUCCCGGGCCUU